AAAAAAUUAGUUAAAGUCUAAUAAUGGAGGGUUGUCAAUUCUUUGUUGCUCUUUUGAGUGUUUUUUG
RNAcentral lists this transfer RNA (67 nucleotides) under Yininemertes pratensis. Its description in RNAcentral is "tRNA-Asp". Lineage: Eukaryota; Metazoa; Nemertea; Pilidiophora; Heteronemertea; Lineidae. The record is from RNAcentral.